This 455-nucleotide long non-coding RNA is filed under the name Mytilus galloprovincialis (Mediterranean mussel). Lineage: Eukaryota; Metazoa; Mollusca; Bivalvia; Mytilida; Mytilidae. The record is from RNAcentral.
CAAAUUGUUACAUCUUUAAGAGAGUUAUAAUGCAGGCGGACAGAUAGCCGUACAGGUAAUAGGUAAUCUGUGCACGCAUUUUAAUCUCUCAAACGAUUAUGUCUACUUGUUUGAUUGACAGGCUUGUUUGAACAAACUGAUCUGAAUUAAUAUGGUUGAUUGAUUAUAUGUGGGUAUAAUUCGCGUGAAAAUGAGGAAAUGAGGUUACACGAAAAAAUAACCAGGAUACAAUUUAGAAGCGACAGUAUGACCAGUGCGAUCUCUUCUCUUAGUUCGAGGUUGCAGUCUUGAGAAAAGAACAUGUCAACACUAUAUUCAAAUUGUAUUUGCCAUUCUUCUACGUUCUAUUAGUAUACUGCAGUUAUAUAGACAGAAAAGAACGUGAAUUACCAUAAGUCAUGAAAAAUGAAGAAUAGAUCUAUAUGUCUACUUGAAUUCUUAUUGAUAAAAUGGUG